Molecule: ribosomal RNA, 230 nt
Filed under: Mustelus mustelus (smooth-hound)
Lineage: Eukaryota; Metazoa; Chordata; Chondrichthyes; Carcharhiniformes; Triakidae
Description: partial 28S ribosomal RNA
Rfam family: Eukaryotic large subunit ribosomal RNA
Source: RNAcentral
GGGAAAAGAAACUAACAAGGAUUCCCCUAGUAACUGCGAGUGAAGAGGGAAGAGCCCAGCGCCGAAUCCCCGCUUGCCAGCCGGGCGUGGGAAAUGUGGCGUAUAGAAGACCUUUCUCUGACGAUGCUCGAGGGGCCCAAGUCCUUCUGAUCGAGGCUUAGCCUUUGGGAGGUGUCAGGCCGGUUGCGGCCCCUGGCUCGUCGUGAUUGAAUCUUCUCGGAGUCGGGUUG